RNAcentral lists this ribosomal RNA (627 nucleotides) under Pseudomonas sp. Horo_43. RNAcentral's name for it is "bacterial SSU rRNA". It matches the Rfam family "Bacterial small subunit ribosomal RNA", at positions 56 to 680 of the family's 1533-position model. Lineage: Bacteria; Pseudomonadati; Pseudomonadota; Gammaproteobacteria; Pseudomonadales; Pseudomonadaceae. The record is from RNAcentral.
UGCAGUCGAGCGGAUGAGGGAGCUUGCUCCUGGAUUCAGCGGCGGACGGGUGAGUAAUGCCUAGGAAUCUGCCUGGUAGUGGGGGAUAACGUCCGGAAACGGGCGCUAAUACCGCAUACGUCCUGAGGGAGAAAGUGGGGGAUCUUCGGACCUCACGCUAUCAGAUGAGCCUAGGUCGGAUUAGCUAGUUGGUGGGGUAAAGGCCUACCAAGGCGACGAUCCGUAACUGGUCUGAGAGGAUGAUCAGUCACACUGGAACUGAGACACGGUCCAGACUCCUACGGGAGGCAGCAGUGGGGAAUAUUGGACAAUGGGCGAAAGCCUGAUCCAGCCAUGCCGCGUGUGUGAAGAAGGUCUUCGGAUUGUAAAGCACUUUAAGUUGGGAGGAAGGGCAGUAAGUUAAUACCUUGCUGUUUUGACGUUACCAACAGAAUAAGCACCGGCUAACUUCGUGCCAGCAGCCGCGGUAAUACGAAGGGUGCAAGCGUUAAUCGGAUUUACUGGGCGUAAAGCGCGCGUAGGUGGUUCAGCAAGUUGGAUGUGAAAUCCCCGGGCUCAACCUGGGAACUGCAUCCAAAACUACUGAGCUAGAGUACGGUAGAGGGUGGUGGAAUUUCCUGUGUAGCG